AUGAACGCUGGCGGCGUGCCUAAUACAUGCAAGUCGAGCGAACAGACGAGGAGCUUGCUCCUCUGACGUUAGCGGCGGACGGGUGAGUAACACGUGGAUAACCUACCUAUAAGACUGGGAUAACUUCGGGAAACCGGAGCUAAUACCGGAUAAUAUAUUGAACCGCAUGGUUCAAUAGUGAAAGACGGUUUUGCUGUCACUUAUAGAUGGAUCCGCGCCGCAUUAGCUAGUUGGUAAGGUAACGGCUUACCAAGGCAACGAUGCGUAGCCGACCUGAGAGGGUGAUCGGCCACACUGGAACUGAGACACGGUCCAGACUCCUACGGGAGGCAGCAGUAGGGAAUCUUCCGCAAUGGGCGAAAGCCUGACGGAGCAACGCCGCGUGAGUGAUGAAGGUCUUCGGAUCGUAAAACUCUGUUAUUAGGGAAGAACAAAUGUGUAAGUAACUAUGCACGUCUUGACGGUACCUAAUCAGAAAGCCACGGCUAGCUACGUG
Molecule: ribosomal RNA, 496 nt
Filed under: uncultured bacterium
Lineage: Bacteria
Description: partial 16S ribosomal RNA
Rfam family: Bacterial small subunit ribosomal RNA
Source: RNAcentral